Long non-coding RNA from Lycium barbarum (goji berry), 1085 nucleotides. RefSeq lists it as uncharacterized. NCBI's taxonomy places the organism in Eukaryota, Viridiplantae, Streptophyta, Magnoliopsida, Solanales, Solanaceae. The record is from RefSeq and is a predicted model, not a curated record. The transcript has 2 exons.
AGCCCUACCCCUACCCCGUUUCUCUCUCUAUCCUUUUCUGUGUAACCCUAAUCGCCGCCUCAUAUUGUCCCUCUUCUCUCUCCGCCAAAAAUGGCAAAAUCACAAAGUAUAGUAGAUGUACGCAACUUUUGCAUGUCCAUUGUAGUGAAACAUUUAAUGUUUCACUUGGUUUCGCGAAAAUAUGAUACAAACAUGUUUGUGUGGUGGUCUUGGAAGCACAAAGGGCUUUUAAAUUCAUUUUUGACCAAGGCUGCACUAUUAAAAGGUAAUAUUCUAUCCUUUACUUAUUUUGUUAUUGCUUAGUAGUUAGUUUAUAUGAUAUAUAGUAGCUUGUUAGUUGAUUGAUGUGUUGCCUUUUUGUUCAAUUAAAUGACUGUACUGUUUGGGUGAUAUUAAGGUUCAUUAGCUUGUUUAGAUGUGGAGAUUACUUCCUUUAGUUUCAAAGCAUAUGUUUGACAUUAAUAAGUAGUUGGUGGUAUAGACUGAGUGUAUGAGUUCCAAAUAAUGUAGUGUUUGUUUCUAUAGAUAUGGUUGAAACAGAUUUUUUUGUGCUCUGUUGGAUGUUGAGGUUUCCUAUUUUGGCUGUUCAAUACUUAAAUAUGAUAGGAAGGUCGUUAUAUGAGUCAUGAUAGUAAUCUAGUGAACUUUUAAAUCAACACUGAUCCUAUUUGAAUGCAGUAGAACAUUAAAGUACUGUGAUGAUCUAUUUGAAGCAUUUAAGGUAGUUGCUUUUUCUUGAAUAAGACUAUGACAUUUUGAUUUCCUAAAUUUUGUUAUUUCAUAGGCCUAUAUACUUGUCUAAUGUCAACUAGAUAACAUGAAAUUAUGAUUAGGAUAAAAAAUAGAAGAGAUCAUGCUCAGGUUGAAAUAAAGCUUAAGGAACCUAGGCAUGUUUAUAGGAGUCUUUGAUGAGUGUUCAAGGCAUUUAGAGUUAGGGGGGUCUGCUUGCAUUUUUGUGGGUCUGAAUCUUCCCAAGGCUGUCUGAGCAUGUUUGAAUUAGUCAAAUAAUUUGGAAUAGUUGUAUGCUAUAUAUAUAUAUAUAUAUAUAUAUAUAUAUAUAUAUUAAAAGUAGUUUGAAAUAACAA